Molecule: ribosomal RNA, 423 nt
Filed under: uncultured bacterium
Lineage: Bacteria
Description: bacterial SSU rRNA
Rfam family: Bacterial small subunit ribosomal RNA
Source: RNAcentral
UAAGGAAUAUUGGUCAAUGGACGCAAGUCUGAACCAGCCAUGCCGCGUGGAGGAUGAAGGUCCUCUGGAUUGUAAACUUCUUUUAUCGGAGAAGAAACCCCGACAUUCUUGUUGGGUUGACGGUACCCGAUGAAUAAGCACCGGCUAACUCCGUGCCAGCAGCCGCGGUAAUACGGAGGGUGCAAGCGUUAUCCGGAUUCACUGGGUUUAAAGGGUGCGUAGGUGGGCUAGUAAGUCCGUGGUGAAAUCCCCGAGCUUAACUCGGGAACUGCCGUGGAUACUAUUAGUCUUGAAUAUCGUGGAGGUAAGCGGAAUAUGUCAUGUAGCGGUGAAAUGCUUAGAUAUGACAUAGAACACCGAUAGCGGAGGCAGCUUACUACGCGAUUAUUGACACUGAGGCACGAAAGCGUGGGGAUCAAACAG